Molecule: ribosomal RNA, 252 nt
Filed under: uncultured bacterium
Lineage: Bacteria
Description: partial 16S ribosomal RNA
Rfam family: Bacterial small subunit ribosomal RNA
Source: RNAcentral
UACGGAGGAUCCAAGCGUUAUCCGGAUUUAUUGGGUUUAAAGGGUGCGUAGGCGGAUUGAUAAGUUAGAGGUGAAAUGUCCGGGCUCAACCCGGGCCGGCCGUUGAAACUGGGGAUCUUGAGUGGGCGAGAAGUAUGCGGAAUGCGUGGUGUAGCGGUGAAAUGCAUAGAUAUCACGCAGAACUCCGAUUGCGAAGGCAGCAUACCGGCGCCCGACUGACGCUGAGGCACGAAAGCGUGGGGAUCGAACAGG